GGAGUUGUGGCUCAGUGGUAGAGCACUUGCCUAGAAUGUGUGAAGCCCUGGGUUCAAUCUUCAGCAACACAU
RNAcentral lists this transfer RNA (72 nucleotides) under Ictidomys tridecemlineatus (thirteen-lined ground squirrel). RNAcentral describes it as "Spermophilus tridecemlineatus (thirteen-lined ground squirrel) tRNA". It matches the Rfam family "tRNA". Rfam says of the family: Transfer RNA (tRNA) molecules are approximately 80 nucleotides in length. Their secondary structure includes four short double-helical elements and three loops (D, anti-codon, and T loops). The record is from Rfam by way of RNAcentral. Lineage: Eukaryota; Metazoa; Chordata; Mammalia; Rodentia; Sciuridae.